Molecule: long non-coding RNA, 1237 nt
Filed under: Laticauda laticaudata (blue-ringed sea krait)
Lineage: Eukaryota; Metazoa; Chordata; Lepidosauria; Squamata; Elapidae
Description: lncRNA (ENSLLTG00000011496.1)
Source: RNAcentral
AGCAUAUAUUCUCUUAAGCCCAUGUGAACCUUCUCAAGUGAAUGGAGACGCACUUGAAACACCUGUUCUUGCCACAUCUGGACAUUAAUUCCGAGCCAAACAUGGAUCAAAUCAUCGAAAUUGGUCUUCCUCAAUCUUCCUCCCUCCAGCUACGCUUCAAGCCCAUCUAGUGAAGGAGAAAGGAGGUGGCCGUCCAAAACAGAUCGCAGAAGGCGAAAUGGUUAUAUGCGACAGGGAUCUCGCCGGUCGGGCCUUCUCGCCCCUUGCCCCGCCCGCUUUGCCGGCUCCUGUCCUUCCUUCGGUUACUGCUCUCCGUCCAUUGUGCCAAGGCGGAAGCCCGCAGCAGCCCCCGUCGCACAACAAAACCGUCUCAGCGCCUUCCUCCGCCCACUCUCGGUCACGCCGGCCUCUCUCCAUCCGGCACAUUCUGUUUACCUCACGAGGUGCCGGCGCCAUGACACGAGGGGCAGAGGAAGACCAGCGCCUCUCUCUUUUCCCCCCCCUCCCCCCAGCGCGUCAUCAUCAUCAUUGCAAAGGAACACAAAUAGCUCCUGGUGCGAAAACUUAGGGAAAACGUGAAGACGCUUCCCUCCCUCCUCCCCCCCCCCCAAAAAAAACGAUUUUUUUUUAACGCGUAGUUGCAAAGUUUAGGUUCUAAGCUAAAGCAAUUUUGCAUAGUAAAUUUAUCCUACUUUUUUGUUGUUUUUGGCCUACAAAAACAACAAACAGAGAGAGCCUGUAUGCUCCUAGUAGAGCCUGCCUCUAUUCUUUCAUUUAGUCUGAGGUAGAUUAAGCAGAGGAAGAACCAACGGCUCCACAGCAGAAAUGUUAACACGAGUGACAGAGGGUUUAAGGUCUCCCUUUCCAAUCCUAUUUGCCAUGUUGAUUCUCCAGAAUUGCAACUGAAGCAAAGAUAACUUGAAGAUGUGCGGGGUUGUUGUUUUUUCCUGACCGCAGGUUUCUAGUGAGAACAGUACAAUGUUUCCUUUAGAUUUUAUUGAAGAAGGCCUAAUUUCCGUUGAUUCUGAAGUUAGGGAAUAGUUAUUUCUGAAGAAAAUCAUUGUUUUCCUCCAGUGCAGGCCAAUUGGAAGUAUGUUACCAAAGUGGGCAGGUUAGAAUUUACACUGCUUUAAAAGCCUGCUCGUCAGUUCUUAACAUACAAUCUUGUAUUUGCAAGAUGGCAUAAUUUUUAUUAACUUAAUAGUUAAUAAACUGUUAACUAUAAACUAUUUGUCUG